CAUGCUGCGAGUUGUAGAUUGCAGGUGGGAGAGUCUGCGUAGGCCGGUGUCGAAGUCCCUUGGAACAGGGCGCCACUGAGGGUGAGAGCCCCGUGCGAUGCCACGCUCUACGUUUUGUACUCCCCUCUGACGAGUCGAGUUGUUUGGGAAUGCAGCUCUAAGUGGGUGGUAAAUUCCAUCUAAGGCUAAAUACUGGCGAGAGACCGAUAGCGAACAAGUACUGUGAAGGAAAGAUGAAAAGCACUUUGAAAAGAGAGUGAAACAGCACGUGAAAUUGUUGAAAGGGAAGGGUAUUGGGCCCGACAUGGGAAUCGCGCACCGCUGCUCCUUGUGGGCGGCGCUCUGGGCUUUUCCUGGGCCAGCAUCGGUUCUUGCUGCAGGAGAAGGGGCUGUGGAAUGUGGCUGCCGCGCUUUGCCGGGGCAGUGUUAUAGCCACUGGGCCAGAUGCUGCGUGUGGGGACCGAGGACUGCGGCCGC
Molecule: ribosomal RNA, 477 nt
Filed under: Pichia inconspicua
Lineage: Eukaryota; Fungi; Ascomycota; Pichiomycetes; Pichiales; Pichiaceae
Description: eukaryotic LSU rRNA
Rfam family: Eukaryotic large subunit ribosomal RNA
Source: RNAcentral